GACGAACGCUGGCGGCGUGCUUAACACAUGCGAGUCGAACGGAAAGGCCCCUUUGGGGGUACUCGAGUGGCGAACGGGUGAGUAACACGUGAGUAACCUGCCCUUGACUUCGGGAUAACUUCAGGAAACUGGGGCUAAUACCGGAUAGGAAUCCUUGCUGCAUGGUGGGGGUUGGAAAGCUUCGGCGGUUUUGGAUGGACUCGCGGCUUAUCAGCUUGUUGGUGGGGUUGUGGCUUACCAAGGCUUUGACGGGUAGCCGGCCUGAGAGGGCGACCGGCCACAUUGGGAAUGAGAGACGGCCCAGACGCCAACGGGAGGCAGCAGAGGGGAAUAGUGCACAAUGGGCGGAAGCCUGAUGGAGCAACGACGCGUGCGGGAUGACGGCCUUCGGGUUGUAAACCGCAUUCAGCAGGGGAGAAGCUUGUGGUGACGGUACCUGCAGAAGAAGCACCGGCUAACUACGUG
RNAcentral lists this ribosomal RNA (465 nucleotides) under uncultured bacterium. RNAcentral's name for it is "partial 16S ribosomal RNA". It matches the Rfam family "Bacterial small subunit ribosomal RNA", at positions 28 to 507 of the family's 1533-position model. The record is from RNAcentral.